GACAGAGGGUGCAAACGUUGUUCGGAAUUACUGGGCGUAAAGCGCGUGUAGGCGGCUAUUUAAGUCGGAUGUGAAAGCCCUCGGCUCAACCGGGGAAGUGCACCCGAAACUGCAAAGCUAGAGUCUCGGAGAGGAUCGUGGAAUUCUCGGUGUAGAGGUGAAAUUCGUAGAUAUCGAGAGGAACACCGGUGGCGAAGGCGGCGAUCUGGACGAUGACUGACGCUGAGACGCGAAAGCGUGGGGAGCAAACAGG
This 253-nucleotide ribosomal RNA is filed under the name uncultured bacterium. RNAcentral describes it as "partial 16S ribosomal RNA". It matches the Rfam family "Bacterial small subunit ribosomal RNA", at positions 524 to 776 of the family's 1533-position model. The record is from RNAcentral.